AGGUGAGCGAAAAUAUGUGUGUCAACUGUGCAAUCGUGCGUUCAAACAAAUGACCCACUUGCAACAGCACCAUAGGAUACACACUGGUGAGCGCAAGUACAUCUGCCAGUGUUGUGACCGAGGCUUCAAGCAGCUGACCCACUUACAACAGCACUACAGGAUCCACACCGGUAAGCCUGUUCACGUCUGCUCCCUCUCUGCCUCAUGUCUUGCUUUCACUUUCAGCUUGCACAGUCUGUCUGUUUGUCUGUCUGUUUGUCUCCAUGGCAAGACCUCCAAGGCAUGGACAGCCCCAGGAUUCCUCCCAAGUGUUGGCACACAGCAAUUCUUUGGACAAGCUGACAGAGGAUGAAUAGAGAGAACAGAAACGACAAACGACCAGAACAGCAAAACGGAACGAAAGAAGGGAAAGAAACGACAAACGACCAGAACAGCAAAACGGAACGAAAGAAGGGAAAGAAACGACAAACGACCAGAACAGCAAAACGGAA
Aplysia californica (California sea hare) is the source of this 491-nucleotide long non-coding RNA. RefSeq lists it as uncharacterized. NCBI's taxonomy places the organism in Eukaryota, Metazoa, Mollusca, Gastropoda, Aplysiida, Aplysiidae. The record is from RefSeq and is a predicted model, not a curated record. The transcript is spliced from 2 exons.